RNAcentral lists this ribosomal RNA (426 nucleotides) under Micrococcus sp. 122-3.2-LH-A-63. RNAcentral describes it as "bacterial SSU rRNA". It matches the Rfam family "Bacterial small subunit ribosomal RNA", at positions 1 to 433 of the family's 1533-position model. Lineage: Bacteria; Bacillati; Actinomycetota; Actinomycetes; Micrococcales; Micrococcaceae. The record is from RNAcentral.
UGAGAUUUAUCCUGGCUCAGGAUAACGCUGGCGGCGUGCUUAACACAUGCAAGUCGAACGCUGAAGCCCCAGCUUGCUGGGGUGGAUGAGUGGCGAACGGGUGAGUAACACGUGAGUAACCUUCCCUUGACUCUGGGAUAAGCCUGGGAAACCGGGUCUAAUACCGGAUGCGACCGUCCACCGCAUGGUGGUCGGUGGAAAGAUUUAUCGGUCUUGGAUGGACUCGCGGCCUAUCAGCUGGUUGGUGGGGUAAUGGCCCACCAAGGCGACGACGGGUAGCCGGCCUGAGAGGGUGACCGGCCACACUGGGACUGAGACACGGCCCAGACUCCUACGGGAGGCAGCAGUGGGGAAUAUUGCACAAUGGGCGCAAGCCUGAUGCAGCGACGCCGCGUGAGGGAUGACGGCCUUCGGGUUGUAACUCUU